UUAGUACUCCCUCCGUCCGGAAAUACUUUUCAUCAAAAUGAUUAAAAGGGGAUGUAUCUAGAUGUAUUUUAGUUCUAGAUACAUCCCUUUUUGUCCAUUUUGAUGACAAGUAUUUUCGGACGGAGGGAGUACAUG
Molecule: non-coding RNA, 135 nt
Organism: Triticum aestivum (bread wheat)
Lineage: Eukaryota; Viridiplantae; Streptophyta; Magnoliopsida; Poales; Poaceae
Source: Rfam